GAUGAACGCUGGCGGCGUGCCUAAUACAUGCAAGUCGAGCGAACGGACGAGAAGCUUGCUUCUCUGAUGUUAGCGGCGGACGGGCGAGUAACACGUGGAUAACCUACCUAUAAGACUGGGAUAACUUCGGGAAACCGGAGCUAAUACCGGAUGAUAUUUUGAACCGCAUGGUUCAAAAGUGAAAGACGGUCUUGCUGUCACUUAUAGAUGGAUCCGCGCUGCAUUAGCUAGUUGGUAAGGUAACGGCUUACCAAGGCAACGAUGCAUAGCCGACCUGAGAGGGUGAUCGGCCACACUGGAACUGAGACACGGUCCAGACUCCUACGGGAGGCAGCAGUAGGGAAUCUUCCGCAAUGGGCGAAAGCCUGACGGAGCAACGCCGCGUGAGUGAUGAAGGUCUUCGGAUCGUAAAACUCUGUUAUUAGGGAAGAACAGAUGUGUAAGUAACUGUGCACGUCUUGACGGUACCUAAACAGAAAGCCACGGCUAACUACGUG
This 497-nucleotide ribosomal RNA is filed under the name uncultured bacterium. RNAcentral describes it as "partial 16S ribosomal RNA". It matches the Rfam family "Bacterial small subunit ribosomal RNA", at positions 28 to 507 of the family's 1533-position model. The record is from RNAcentral.